RNAcentral lists this ribosomal RNA (170 nucleotides) under Candidatus Blautia pullicola. RNAcentral describes it as "partial 23S ribosomal RNA". It matches the Rfam family "Bacterial large subunit ribosomal RNA", at positions 2755 to 2925 of the family's 2925-position model. The record is from RNAcentral. Lineage: Bacteria; Bacillati; Bacillota; Clostridia; Lachnospirales; Lachnospiraceae.
CUGGAAGGGAUAAACGCUGAAGGCAUCUAAGCGUGAAGCCCCCCUCAAGAUGAGAUAUCCCAUUCUUUAAGAAGUAAGACCCCUUGAAGACGACGAGGUAGAUAGGGCAGAGGUGGAAGUGCAGCAAUGUAUGGAGCUGACUGCUACUAAUCGGUCGAGGGCUUGACCAA